GUCUGAUGCCAAAGCGAUUGAUGCACAAUAUGGCAGUGAAAAAGGCCUUACCGCCCUUUCUGCUGCUCUAGCAGGCGGGAAUCUUAUUUAUGA
RNAcentral lists this non-coding RNA (93 nucleotides) under marine eukaryotic metagenome. The record is from RNAcentral.